CGACGUUGAUAGGCCGGGUGUGUAAGCGCAGCGAUGCGUUGAGCUAACCGGUACUAAUGAACCGUGAGGCUUAACCUU
Molecule: ribosomal RNA, 78 nt
Filed under: Citrobacter koseri
Lineage: Bacteria; Pseudomonadati; Pseudomonadota; Gammaproteobacteria; Enterobacterales; Enterobacteriaceae
Also listed under: 23 other names
Description: partial 23S ribosomal RNA
Rfam family: Bacterial large subunit ribosomal RNA
Source: RNAcentral